This 253-nucleotide ribosomal RNA is filed under the name uncultured bacterium. Its description in RNAcentral is "partial 16S ribosomal RNA". It matches the Rfam family "Bacterial small subunit ribosomal RNA", at positions 524 to 776 of the family's 1533-position model. The record is from RNAcentral.
UACGAGGGGUCCUAGCGUUGUUCGGAAUCAUUGGGCGUAAAGAGUAUGUAGGCGGCUAGAUAAGUCAGGUGUGAAAUCCCCGGGCUCAACCCGGGAAGUGCAUUUGAUACUGUCUAGCUUGAGUAUGGAAGAGGGUAGUGGAAUUCCUGGUGUAGUGGUGAAAUACGUAGAUAUCAGGAGGAAUACCGGUGGCGAAGGCGGCUACCUGGUCCUAUACUGACGCUGAGAUACGAAAGCAUGGGUAGCAAACAGG